Molecule: ribosomal RNA, 497 nt
Filed under: uncultured bacterium
Lineage: Bacteria
Description: partial 16S ribosomal RNA
Rfam family: Bacterial small subunit ribosomal RNA
Source: RNAcentral
GAUGAACGCUGGCGGCGUGCCUAAUACAUGCAAGUCGAGCGAACAGACGAGGAGCUUGCUCCUCUGACGUUAGCGGCGGACGGGUGAGUAACACGUGGAUAACCUACCUAUAAGACUGGGAUAACUUCGGGAAACCGGAGCUAAUACCGGAUAAUAUAUUGAACCGCAUGGUUCAAUAGUGAAAGACGGUUUUGCUGUCACUUAUAGAUGGAUCCGCGCCGCAUUAGCUAGUUGGUAAGGUAACGGCUUACCAAGGCAACGAUGCGUAGCCGACCUGAGAGGGUGAUCAGCCACACUGGAACUGAGACACGGUCCAGACUCCUACGGGAGGCAGCAGUAGGGAAUCUUCCGCAAUGGGCGAAAGCUUGACGGAGCAACGCCGCGUGAGUGAUGAAGGUCUUCGGGUCGUAAAACUCUGUUAUUAGGGAAGAACAAAUGCGUAAGUAACUAUGCACGUCUUGACGGUACCUAAUCAGAAAGCCACGGCUAACUACGUG